Molecule: long non-coding RNA, 1051 nt
Organism: Cygnus olor (mute swan)
Lineage: Eukaryota; Metazoa; Chordata; Aves; Anseriformes; Anatidae
Exons: 5
Source: RefSeq, a predicted model, not a curated record
AGAGUCAUAGCAGUGAGUGCUAGCACACCCCUCUAAUUUGGGACUCCACAAUACCUCCACAGUACUUUGUUUGGUUGCUUACUUGGAAACACAACAGUAGGAAACAAUUUUAUGCAAUUUAAUACGAGAAAAAGAAUGAAGGAGCCAGAACUGCGUGAUCAUCCAGCAUUCUGGACCACCAUCAGGUUAUGAAGCUGAAAUAACUUAGUAGAAGAAAGAAUCUGCAAUUUAAUCAAUAAUCAUGCCCAUGUUGAGAUGUGCCUUUGUGAUGAUGCAUGACAUGAUACAUCUGUUUCAAGAAAACUAGGAUGAAUACCCUAGGAUGACUUUGAGGACAGGGACACAUUGUAAGAGGGCUCAUGCUAAAGGCUUCACAGUGUUUAGACUUCCUACUCAACCUGACUGCAAGAUAAGAAAGAAGGAAGGAAGCAGAAAUGAUACAGGAGCACGUCUUCAUCUAGAUAAAUUCUCCUGACACCAGUGUGCUGCCUACAUUCAGGAGGCUGGAAUUUUAUUUUUGGUUAAACAUAAUGAAACUUAGAAUGAUGAAGAGUGAAGACAGUUAACUGCACAUGGUCUGCUUAUAUUUUGUUGCUUUCCUGUGAACAGCAACCUUCUUAAAUUAACUUAUAUUUUUUCAUUAUCACUUUUUCUUUCCUAUUUUGUUAGGAAAUUGCUCAGCUUUUACCAGCUGAAAGGUGACUAAUGUCUUUCUGUCCCGAUAUUUCUUCAGCAUUGCAAUUCCCUGGAUCCAAUAACAAAAAAUGGUCAGUUGUUUUGCUCUGAAUUUUGUAAAUUCAUUACUUUUUCAACCUAACUAUCCAAAUGUCUUAAUAGCAUGAAAUCCUUCUUUAUAGAUUUCAGUAAAUACUUUGUGCUGAAAGUGAGUCUUCUACCUUUAUUUGCAUAGAAUGAUGUUGUUACCAUAAGUAAACCAAUAGCAGUAGGCUGCAGUAUGCUAAUGCUUGGCAUAAAAAAAGGUGCAAAAAGCAGGAUGAAUGUGAUUGUAUUUAUUCAGUUACCAUUUUCUUCCUAUGUUCACCUUUAUUGU